This 851-nucleotide ribosomal RNA is filed under the name uncultured Clostridia bacterium. RNAcentral's name for it is "bacterial SSU rRNA". It matches the Rfam family "Bacterial small subunit ribosomal RNA", at positions 37 to 896 of the family's 1533-position model. Lineage: Bacteria; Bacillati; Bacillota; Clostridia. The record is from RNAcentral.
UGGCGGCGUGCAUAACACAUGCAAGUCGAACGAUGAAACUUAGCUGAUUUCUUCGGAAUGAAAAUAAGUGGAUUAGUGGCGAACGGGUGAGUAACACGUGAGUAACCUGCCUUACACAAGGGGAUAGCCUUUGGAAACGAAGAAUAAUACCCUAUAAAGUUAGUCAAUCGCAUGGUAGACUAACCAAAGAUUUAUCGGUGUAAGAUGGACUUGCGUCUGAUUAGCUAGUUGGUGAGAUAAAAGCCCACCAAGGCGACGAUCAGUAGCCGGCUUGAGAGAGUGUACGGCCACAUUGGGACUGAGACACGGCCCAAACUCCUACGGGAGGCAGCAGUGGGGAAUUUUGCACAAUGGGGGAAACCCUGAUGCAGCGACGCCGCGUGAUUUAGAAGGCCUUCGGGUUGUAAAAAUCUUUUUUAUGGGAUGAAAAUGACAGUACCAUAAGAAUAAGGUCCGGCUAAAUACGUGCCAGCAGCCGCGGUAAUACGUAUGGACCGAGCGUUGUCCGGAAUCAUUGGGCGUAAAGGGUACGUAGGCGGCCUAGUAAGUUAGAAGUGAAAUAAUAUAGCUCAACUAUAUAAAGCUUUUAAAACUGUUAGGCUUGAGAGAUGAAAGGGAAAGUGGAAUUCCUAGUGUAGCGGUGAAAUGCGCAGAUAUUAGGAAGAAUACCGGUGGCGAAGGCGACUUUCUGGUCAUCAUCUGACGCUGAGGUACGAAAGCGUGGGUAGCAAACAGGAUUAGAUACCCUGGUAGUCCACGCUGUAAACGAUGAGUGUUAGGUUCUCGGAAUAAUCUGGGAGCCGCAGCUAACGCAUUAAACACUCCGCCUGGGGAGUACGCACGCAAGUGUG